CGCAGGGCGUUUUCCUUCCUGGAGGGCCUGUGGAGCGGAGGCCCGAGGCCUAGGGCAAACUUGCCAUGAAGAAAGGAGAGGCUGUUCGAGAGCCCUAGGCUGGGAGUCGGAGGACCUGGGUUCGAUUUAUACAUACUUGAGCAUGUCAGUGAACUUCUGGGCACUUUAGUUUUCUGAUUUCCAGAAGUAAAUACUGUUUCCUGCCUUGCCGUUUCCCAAAGUUGUGCGGGUUGAAUGCCUCAAAUUCCUGCCUUUCCUCAAGAGAAGAGCCCCCAGGAGAAAAGCCAGUAUUGCUUGUGCUCCUAACAACCUGUCUCUUGGUUAUGGGAACUCUGUGAAGAGAAUAUGACUGUGUCCUGAAGAAUUUGGAUUAGUUUAAUAUGUAUGCAUAAUAUAUGUACACUUAUGUACUUAUUUAUGUUUAUAUGCAUCAAGAGAUACCUAGAAGAAGGUCCAUUAAAAUACUAUUAUUUUCUGUG
RNAcentral lists this small RNA (479 nucleotides) under Pan troglodytes (chimpanzee). RNAcentral's name for it is "processed transcript". The record is from RNAcentral. Lineage: Eukaryota; Metazoa; Chordata; Mammalia; Primates; Hominidae.